This 253-nucleotide ribosomal RNA is filed under the name uncultured organism. RNAcentral's name for it is "partial 16S ribosomal RNA". It matches the Rfam family "Bacterial small subunit ribosomal RNA", at positions 524 to 776 of the family's 1533-position model. The record is from RNAcentral.
UACGUAUGUCGCGAGCGUUAUCCGGAAUUAUUGGGCAUAAAGGGCAUCUAGGCGGCCUGACAAGUCAGGGGUGAAAACCUGCGGCUCAACCGCAGGCCUGCCUUUGAAACUGACAGGCUGGAGUACCGGAGAGGUGGACGGAACUGCACGAGUAGAGGUGAAAUUCGUAGAUAUGUGCAGGAAUGCCGAUGAUGAAGAUAGUUCACUGGACGGUAACUGACGCUGAAGUGCGAAAGCCGGGGGAGCGAACAGG